Molecule: long non-coding RNA, 1705 nt
Organism: Apteryx haastii (Great spotted kiwi)
Lineage: Eukaryota; Metazoa; Chordata; Aves; Apterygiformes; Apterygidae
Source: Ensembl
NNNNNNNNNNNNNNGCACGGGGCUGCAGGGCUGCACAGGGCUGCACGAAGGUGCACGGGGCUGCAUGGGGUUGCACGAAAGUGCAUGAGGUUGCAGGGAUGCACAGGGGUGCACAAGGAUGCAUGAGGCUGCAUGAAGGUGCACGGGGCUGCACGAAAGUGCAUGAAGCUGCAGGGCUGCACGAAGGUGCACGGGGCUGCAUGGGGCUGCACGGGGCUGCAUGGGGCUGCCAGAAGGUGCAUGGGGCUGCAAGAAGGUGCAUGGGGCUGCAGGGCUGCACGGGGCUGCAGGGCUGCGCAGAGCUGCAGGAAGGUGCACAAGGCUGCAGGGGUGCACGAGGCUGCAGGGGCUCCCUUGGGGUGCAGCUGCCCCGGGGCUUUGGGGGUCCCAGCGAGGGUCGCAGGCGCCCCGGCGGCUGCGGUGUCCCCCGCGGGCGCUCACGUGCCGCCGCUCGGUCCGCAGGGAGGAGCCGCGGGGCUCGGCGACGGUCCUGCGCCGCGACCUGCACAUCGGCUCCUUGGGCGCCCGCGAGCUGCGCACCAACUUCACCUGCGUGGUGCUGAGCCCCGCCGGCUUCGCCGCCCGCCAAGCGCGCUGGGCGCCGGACGAGGCGCCUGCCGAAGGCCCGGGACUGGGCUGAGCCCUGCGCCGCUCGUGACAGGCCAGAGCGCUGCAGUGAGAGCAGCCGGGGGCAGCCGGCCGGCCGGGCGCUGCUCCAGGACUGGACGCUUCCCGGGGCGGCCGGCAGCCUGCAUGGCCCCAUCCCGUCCCAUCCCAUCCCGUCCUGUCCCAUCCCGCCGCCGUGCGGCUCCCCGGGAGCGCGGCCGGGCCCUGCCCGCAGUGGGCUGCGGGGACCGGGAGGGUUCAUUAAAGCGCAACCGAGGCUGCCUGCUGUCGGCCGUGUCCUUGCUCCGAGCCGCCGGCGGCCGCCCCGGGAAAGGGAAACCCCUCCAUGCACCCGAGGAAGAGGAAGGGGUCUCGGCAGUGCGGGGGGGUUGCUGCCACCUCGGGAAGGCUCCCGGGUUUUGCAUCCGGGGGCCCUUGCUCUCCCGGAGGCUGCGCCAGCAGUGCCGCGGCCCCUGUGCCCCGAGCGCCCGCCUGCCAAAGGGGCCUUCAUCACCACCACCAUCAUCACCACCAUCAGCAUCACCACCAUCAUCAGCAUCAUCGUCGCCCCUUGCAAAGCGAGGGGGAGGAAACCCCUUGCUGCCAAACGCGGUGCAUCCGCGCCGCGUUGCACCGUCCCUCCCCGUGUGUCCCCGUCCCUGCCGACGCGGAGCAGCAGCGCCGGAAAAACCGGCGGAGCCCCGGGCUGGGCGGGAAGGGAGGCACCGAACGGUCCCCGCGGGACGGGCGCAGGCUCGCAAGCAUCCGGGGGCAGCAGGGUGAGCGCGGUUUGCAAAGGGGACUGAGGCAACCUGCGGAGGGGUUUUGGUUUCUAACUCCUUUGAUUUCCUUGGGGGUUUGGCACUGGCAUCCGUCUGAGGCUCCGGAUCUGGGAAUAAGAUUUCRAAGGUAUUCAGGCACCCGAUAAGAUUUUUUCACACUCAGAAUCAGUGGUGCACAGACACCUAUCCGCUGCCUCCCGGAAAAUCCUCCAGGGUAACUGUGGGCUACGUCUUGCAGCGGGUGAARCCUCAGCGGGACGUUCAGCAGCCCCGGUCGCACUGAACGACUGCAGGGCUGCAAGGCCUCCAAGUCACUG